ACAGCAGCAGCCGCGGUAAUACGUAGGGUGCGAGCGUUAAUCGGAACUACUGGGCGUAAAGCGUGCGCAGGCGGUUUUGUAGGACAGGCGUGAAAUCCCCGGGCUCAACCUGGGAAUGGCGCUUGUGACUGCAAAGCUAGAGUGCGGCAGAGGGGGAUGGAAUUCCGCGUGUAGCAGUGAAAUGCGUAGAUAUGCGGAGGAACACCGAUGGCGAAGGCAAUCCCCUGGGCCUGCACUGACGCUCAUGCACGAAAGCGUGGGGAGCAAACAGGAUUAGAUACCCCGGUAGUCCCUGUCUCUUAUAC
RNAcentral lists this ribosomal RNA (305 nucleotides) under uncultured bacterium. RNAcentral describes it as "partial 16S ribosomal RNA". It matches the Rfam family "Bacterial small subunit ribosomal RNA", at positions 505 to 807 of the family's 1533-position model. The record is from RNAcentral.